CCUGAGAAACCUCGCCAUCUUCUUACUACUUCUCUCUUUAUUGUCGAUGUGGACCUCCAGUUCCCACAUUGUCCUGCAUGAAUUCCAUUCUAUGAGGCUUUAUGAGGGUUACACUCUGCCCAAAAGCAGGUGUGACCUGUUAGAUAGAUACUGUAGGCCUAAACCUACAUUUCCACAUUAAAUGAUUGGGCGAUGAGACAACGGAGCCACAUUCAUUUUCAUCUGAGGGAGCGAAGUGGGCGGGGAACCAGUGGGCUAUGCCAGCAUGGGCUAGGGAACGUGAACAUUUUGGUUUCCAGGACCCUACUGGAUUGGCUGUAGAUACCAAGCGCUACUUAGCCUGCUUACGCAAACAUGACGGUGACCAGGGCGUGCGCAAGAUGGCGGUCAGUGCAGAUCUAUUGUUUUGGUAGCUGAAGGAAUUAUUGGAUUUCCUCACCCAAAUAUAACCAUUUGGUCAUUUCUAAGAUCAUAAAACGCUGUGUGAAUAUGGUUUUGUUUGUUUGUCAAAGUAAUUGAUUACUUUCUGCAAGUUAUUCACCUCUAAAACGAUUAAGUUAGCGACAACACUAGCUAGCUCAAAAAAUAGCUUGUCUACCUACAUGGAACCUUCCACGACCAGAACCAAAAGAAAAGAUAUUGAGAAAUCAUCAGAUGGACAAUUAACAGCAAAAUAUGGUAUGGUUUUAGGUACUCCUCUGUGGGGGGAAAUACUGCUGUGGGUGAUGAAAAUUUGGUGUGCACAAUGCUGACAAGUUGCACCCAUCCAGUCCCCAGCUCAGGCCAUUACCUCAAUACCCCAACACUCCAGUCCAACCCCAGGGGGAAAAGAUGAGAGGACAAGAGCAUGUGUCACUUCUUGAGAUACAAAGCAAUGUUGUGAUGCUUUUGACAGCAAAGAGAGAUGAAAGGGCAAAUGGCUUGGAGGACAUGGUUGGGGUGAAUAUGAUGAAAAUUGAUGCAAAAAAAAAAUGUUGACUUUAUCUCUGGAGAAGUGAAAACCAUCAAAAGUGACAUGAAGAAAACGGAAGUUAUCUGACAGGAAAAUGAAAAGGUGGCUGAACUCAAGCAAAAGGUGAAUGAGGAGGAGAGAUACCAGGCCUGGUGAAACCUGAGGCUCCAUGGAAUUCCAGAGCAGGUGGGUGUCGACAUCAAAUUAGGAGUUGUUGACAUCUGUGAAGCUGUCAUUCCCGAAUCAAACGCCAAACUUCAGGAAAAUGUGGACAUCGUUCAUCGUUUGGGGACUCAGGAAUCAUGACAAGAGACUGAGGACAACCAUCAUCUGGUUCACCAACAGAUCUACACGGGAUCUUCUCUGUAGGCGAGCGAAGAACUGUCAGUUCCUCAUCACGCAAAAAUGGAGGUUCACAGAGGAUCUGACCUCAGCGGUCAAAGUGACACGGGAGGGACUGUGUCCGAUGGCAGCUGCAGCUCGAAACUGAAUUUCUUUGUCAGUGCAAGAGUGACCAUCGAUGGGAAAGAAAUGCAGCCAAACCAGAACAUUUGAGAGAGAGACAGAGUCUAACUCGGACAGAACUGGGAGGCCUAAACACUGCCUAAUUGCAGGUGAAAAACAGCCUUUUAUUGUAAAGAAUUUACACAAACACUUGAAUGAGGAAAGGCUGACUUGAGAACUGGUAAACCAAACACUAACUAUGGGUGAAUCACUGCUUAUUGUAAGAUCUACACAAUGUCUCCCUCAUGUGGGUGUAAAUAAUUUGAUCACUUUAUGACCAGUAUUUCUUAGUUUUAUGUUGUAGGGGUUAAUAAUGGGAUGGAAAUCCUUUUGAGUUACAUAUCCUUAGGAAAAGCUUACAUUAGCAUAAUAAGGAUGUUGGUUGAAGUUCAUGUCUUUAUCUCUUUGUUCAAUUCAUGUCAGGGGUAUUCGUCAUUUACACAAACGUAAGGCUAUUUUCAUAUAUUGCAAAUAGUUUAAUGCAGACUUUUACUUUCUACAAGAGACUGUAUUAAUGCCUUCUCACAUGUAUCUGGUUUAUCUCUGAAUAUUAGGAAAUGUGAAUUAUUUGCGUUGAAAAGAUGUGACUUAAACUCAUUAUGUAAUAUCGGGGCUCUCGAGUGGCGCAGAGGUCUAAGGCACUGCAUUUCAGUGCUAGAGGUGUAACUACAGACCCUGGUUAAAUUUGAGGCUGUGUCAUAACCGGCCUUGGGAGUUGGAGUUGGAUUGGGAGUUCCCUAGGGCGGAGCACAACUGGCCCAGCGUCGUCUGGGUUAGUGUUUGGCCGGUGUAGGCCAUCAUUGUAAAUAAGAAUUUGUUCUUAACUGACUUGUCUAGUUAAAUUAAUUUUUUUUUCUUUUAAAUGAUAUCCCUGUAAAAGAUGUGAUCACAUAUCUUGGUAUUACAGAAAGGGCCAACUUAAAUUUCUCUCCUACUGUAGAGAAAAUUGGAAAGAGAUUUAACUCCUGGUUAUUAAGGGAUCUUUCUUUAUCUGAACGUGUACUUUUAUCACAAUCUGAAGGUCUGUCCAGAUGAGUUUAUACCUCCCUUGCCUUGGAUGUUCCUCUGUCAGUAACUAAAAUGGUUGAUACUAAAUUAUUUAACUUCAUAUGGAGGAAUAAAGCUCAUUAUUUAAGAAAAGCGGUAAUAUGUAACACCCAAAGUGAGGGAGGGUUGAAUGCUCUGGAUAUUAAAACCAAUAAUAUCAUCUUUAAGAUCAAAUGGAUACAAAACUAUUUGAGAAAUAAGAAUUGCAUUUGGAAUAUAAUCCCUCAUUUAAUAUUUCAACAGAUUGGUUGUCUAGAAUUCUUACUCAAAUGCAACUUUGACAUGGAUGCCUAUUAAGCUUGCUAACUUUCAUUAACAGGUACUUCUAACUUGGAACUUCAUGAACAAACAUGUUUUUUCCCAACAUAGAUAUACAAUCUGGAAUAAUAAAGACAUAAAUACAACACACCAGAACUUGUUUGACAACAGCAUUAUUUGAGUUCAAUGAUUGAUGAUGGACAACAAUAUGAUUAUUCAGAAUGUAUGAGAACACACAAUGUUACAUUCACUCCUGAGGAGUUUCUAAUAGUUGUUAGAACUGUCCCUAAAGGUGCCAUUCUUCUUUUAGGAGAAAAUAACAUGACUCCAAGUGCAACUGUUGAUGAGUUUGUAGCCUCAAUACAGCUAGAAGACAUGUACAUUUUAAACUAUAACUACUAUGACAUGUAUAUAAGAACUAUGUCAAUAUGUUACCAUUCCCUCUGCUUUGCAUCCCUAGGACAAGUGAACUGGAACAUAGUCUCGUUGUUGUCUGGCAAAUAUUGUAUCAUACAAACUCAUUCAUAGAAUCUACCUGGCGGUAGGUUGCUUAGUGGUUAGAGCAUUGGGCCAGUAACCGAAAGGUUGCUGGAUCAAAUCCCCGAGCUGACAAGGUACUAAAAAUAUGUUGUUCUGGCCCUAAAAAAGGCAGUUAACCCACUGCUCCCUGGUAGGCUGUCAUUGUAAGCAAAACUGACUGGUUAAAUUAAAAAAAUACCUUUUAUUAUACACAGAUUCAAAUUAGCUACUGAUAACAAAUGUGUAUUUUGUGGUUGAGACCCAGAGACUCUUGACCAUUUAUUUUGGCACUGUUCUUAUGUCAGAAGAUUUUGGAGUGA
Molecule: long non-coding RNA, 3600 nt
Organism: Oncorhynchus tshawytscha (Chinook salmon)
Lineage: Eukaryota; Metazoa; Chordata; Actinopteri; Salmoniformes; Salmonidae
Source: Ensembl